Molecule: long non-coding RNA, 1393 nt
Organism: Polypterus senegalus (gray bichir)
Lineage: Eukaryota; Metazoa; Chordata; Cladistia; Polypteriformes; Polypteridae
Exons: 3
Source: RefSeq, a predicted model, not a curated record
UGUAAUAUACUGAUCAUUGGAUAUACUGUACAGAUAACCGUUUGAAAUUCUUAAAAUCGUUUAGUGUUCUCAUACUGGUCAUGGUGCUAGCUUUGCCCUUAAUGAAACCAUUAUCAAGAUGUAAAUUGCUUACAGGCUUCCUAUUAAUGUGUGUGUGCAGACCAUUCCACCCCCGCUCUCCAUUACGGUUGGAUGCCGGUCCAUUUUUAAACGAAUGAAAGUCAUUCAAGCACCAUCGGUCUUUAGUCAACAGGUAAAUCGCGUCACAUUUAACAGAAAUGGCUCUUACAGACGAGAGACUUACUCGGUCAGCCACGUUCCCCGCGGGACUCUGUCAUCGCGCGCAGCCCGUCUCUCGUGUGCGCGGCAUUCGCCGCUCGAAUUUCUCCCGCCCGAUUUCUCGAUGGUACCCGGAUGUGCUGCGAUCUCUCUCUCUCUCUCUCUCUCUCUGCCUUUCUGUCCGACAAUGUCAGCUAUCGACAGACCGUGAAGGCUACGCAGUACGGACAGUACUUUGUAGUCGUCCUCAGUAAGUAAACUGCGCUAUCCCGGUACAGACAGUGUGACCACAACUGACACUAGGAGAUAAUGGGUCAAUCCUGUUAGCCAUUGAAAACGCACUAACAAAAGAUAAAGACAAAUAAACUGGACAAACUGUACUGUCAGCGCUUCCCGGUCGUCCUGUCAUCACAAUGAAUGCCACCGACUCCCCAGCUAAGCUGCACUGCGCGCAUUCGGCCCAGGAGAGACAGGAUGGUUUUAAUGUAAACACUGCUAGAAGAAACAGAUGCCCUGCAGAAAUUCUUCAACAAAUCCAGUAAAGGGUCUUUGGGGGCAUUGCUAACUGGAGGACAAUGCGACACAAACACAAGUCACACCAGUGCACUUAUGCAUUACAUCCUCACUUGCAGACAAUAUUUCACCAGCUGUGGUCUGCAUUGUAAUUAAAUUAAAUGUCAGCAGCACUGAAAAUCAUCUGCACAGUGCCACUCUGGACAGGAGAUUCCACACAGCUUUUGGGAGUUUUGUGUCUAGAAGCCGUCAACUGUAGACACUUCUGACUGGAACAUUAUAAGAAGACCUUUUGAAAGCCCAUGACUCUCCAUUUUCCUCUUUUCUUGCCAAUGGCAGUUGACAAGCACUCUGAUCUUAUGCUAUUUUCAAGAAGGAUGAUUAAAGAUGUAGAGAAACAUGUAAAGAAAGCAAUGAAGGAUUAACCAAAGCUAAACACACCCUCUCUUAUACACUACAGCAGCAGAACCCUGCCACCAAGAGUCUGGAUUUUUUUUUUACUGUCUGUCACGGUUGCCUUUUGUAUUACUGUGCUUUUGAUAAAUUAAUCUAUAAGGAACAUUAUUUAAAAAAAAAAAGUAUGAACAUAUUGGACAAAAAU